This 603-nucleotide ribosomal RNA is filed under the name uncultured bacterium. Its description in RNAcentral is "bacterial SSU rRNA". It matches the Rfam family "Bacterial small subunit ribosomal RNA", at positions 56 to 655 of the family's 1533-position model. The record is from RNAcentral.
UGCAAGUCGAACGGCAGCACGGGGGCAACCCUGGUGGCGAGUGGCGAACGGGUGAGUAAUAAAUCGGAACGUGCCCAGUAGUGGGGGAUAACCAGUCGAAAGACUGGCUAAUACCGCAUACGACCUACGGGUGAAAGCGGGGGACCGCAAGGCCUCGCGCUAUCGGAGCGGCCGAUUCCCGAUUAGCUAGUUGGUGAGGUAAAGGCUCACCAAGGCGAUGAUCGGUAGCUGGUCUGAGAGGACGGCCAGCCACACUGGGACUGAGACACGGCCCAGACUCCUACGGGAGGCAGCAGUGGGGAAUUUUGGACAAUGGGCGAAAGCCUGAUCCAGCCAUGCCGCGUGCGGGAAGAAGGCCUUCGGGUUGUAAACCGCUUUUGGCAGGAACGAAACGGCGCGAGCUAAUACCCCGCGCUAAUGACGGUACCUGCAGAAUAAGCACCGGCUAACUACGUGCCAGCAGCCGCGGUAAUACGUAGGGUGCGAGCGUUAAUCGGAAUUACUGGGCGUAAAGCGUACGCAGGCGGCUUGGUAAGACAGAUGUGAAAUCCCCGGGCUUAACUGGGAACUGCAUUUGUGACUGCCAAGCUUGAGUCUGUCAGA